UUUCGAAUCAUUCACAAUGGGCGAAAGCCUGAUGGUGCGACGCCGCGUGAGGGAUGAAGGUCUUCGGAUUGUAAACCUCUGUCACCGGGGAAGAAACGCUUCAAGUUAAUAGUUUGAAGCCUGACUUAACCCGGAGAGGAAGCAGUGGCUAACUCUGUGCCAGCAGCCGCGGUAAUACAGAGACUGCAAGCGUUAUUCGGAUUCACUGGGCGUAAAGGGUGCGCAGGCGGCCAAGUGUGUGAGGCGUGAAAGCCCGAUGCUUAACAUCGGAAUUGCACCUCAAACUACAUGGCUAGAGCAUUGGAGAGGGUAGCGGAAUUCACGGUGUAGCAGUGAAAUGCGUAGAUAUCGUGAGGAACACCAGAGGCGAAGGCGGCUACCUGGACAAUUGCUGACGCUCAGGCACGAAAGCGUGGGGAGCAAAAG
RNAcentral lists this ribosomal RNA (426 nucleotides) under uncultured Opitutus sp. RNAcentral describes it as "bacterial SSU rRNA". It matches the Rfam family "Bacterial small subunit ribosomal RNA", at positions 355 to 774 of the family's 1533-position model. The record is from RNAcentral. Lineage: Bacteria; Pseudomonadati; Verrucomicrobiota; Opitutia; Opitutales; Opitutaceae.